UACGUAGGGGGCUAGCGUUGUCCGGAAUCAUUGGGCGUAAAGCGCGCGUAGGCGGUCAGGUAAGUCCGGUGUGAAAGUCAUAGGCUCAACCUAUGGAUGCCGCUGGAAACUGCCUGACUUGAGUCCGGAAGGGGAGAGUGGAAUUCCUGGUGUAGCGGUGAAAUGCGCAGAUAUCAGGAGGAACACCAAUGGCGAAGGCAGCUCGCUGGAACGGUACUGACGCUGAGGCGCGAAAGCGUGGGGAGCGAACAGG
RNAcentral lists this ribosomal RNA (253 nucleotides) under uncultured bacterium. RNAcentral's name for it is "partial 16S ribosomal RNA". It matches the Rfam family "Bacterial small subunit ribosomal RNA", at positions 524 to 776 of the family's 1533-position model. The record is from RNAcentral.